RNAcentral lists this transfer RNA (69 nucleotides) under Ovis aries (sheep). It matches the Rfam family "tRNA". Rfam says of the family: Transfer RNA (tRNA) molecules are approximately 80 nucleotides in length. Their secondary structure includes four short double-helical elements and three loops (D, anti-codon, and T loops). Further hydrogen bonds mediate the characteristic L-shaped molecular structure. tRNAs have two regions of fundamental functional importance: the anti-codon, which is responsible for specific mRNA codon recognition, and the 3' end, to which the tRNAs corresponding amino acid is attached (by aminoacyl-tRNA synthetases). tRNAs cope with the degeneracy of the genetic code in two manners: having more than one tRNA (with a specific anti-codon) for a particular amino acid; and 'wobble' base-pairing, i.e. permitting non-standard base-pairing at the 3rd anti-codon position. The record is from Rfam by way of RNAcentral. Lineage: Eukaryota; Metazoa; Chordata; Mammalia; Artiodactyla; Bovidae.
CCUGAUGGCUUACAUGGUAAAGUGUCUGCCUUCAGUGCGGGAGACCCAGGUUCAGUCCCUGGGUCAGGA